Molecule: ribosomal RNA, 254 nt
Filed under: uncultured bacterium
Lineage: Bacteria
Description: partial 16S ribosomal RNA
Rfam family: Bacterial small subunit ribosomal RNA
Source: RNAcentral
CACGUAGGGGGCAAGCGUUGUCCGGAUUUAUUGGGCGUAAAGAGCUCGUAGGUGGUUCGGUAAGUCGGGUGUGAAAACUCUGGGCUCAACCCAGAGACGCCACCCGAUACUGCCGUGACUAGAGUCUGGUAGGGGAGUGUGGAAUUCCUAGUGUAGCGGUGAAAUGCGCAGAUAUUAGGAGGAACACCAGUGGCGAAGGCGGCCACCUGGGCUGUACCUGACGCUCCAACACGAAAGCUAGGGGAGCGAACGGG